This 1401-nucleotide ribosomal RNA is filed under the name uncultured bacterium. RNAcentral describes it as "partial 16S ribosomal RNA". It matches the Rfam family "Bacterial small subunit ribosomal RNA". The record is from RNAcentral.
AGAGUUUGAUCCUGGCUCAGGAUGAACGCUAGCUACAGGCUUAACACAUGCAAGUCGAGGGGCAGCAUGGUCUUAGCUUGCUAAGGCCGAUGGCGACCGGCGCACGGGUGAGUAACACGUAUCCAACCUGCCGUCUACUCUUGGACAGCCUUCUGAAAGGAAGAUUAAUACAAGAUGGCAUCAUGAGUCCGCAUGUUCACAUGAUUAAAGGUAUUCCGGUAGACGAUGGGGAUGCGUUCCAUUAGAUAGUAGGCGGGGUAACGGCCCACCUAGUCUUCGAUGGAUAGGGGUUCUGAGAGGAAGGUCCCCCACAUUGGAACUGAGACACGGUCCAAACUCCUACGGGAGGCAGCAGUGAGGAAUAUUGGUCAAUGGGCGAGAGCCUGAACCAGCCAAGUAGCGUGAAGGAUGACUGCCCUAUGGGUUGUAAACUUCUUUUAUAAAGGAAUAAAGUCGGGUAUGCAUACCCGUUUGCAUGUACUUUAUGAAUAAGGAUCGGCUAACUCCGUGCCAGCAGCCGCGGUAAUACGGAGGAUCCGAGCGUUAUCCGGAUUUAUUGGGUUUAAAGGGAGCGUAGAUGGAUGUUUAAGUCAGUUGUGAAAGUUUGCGGCUCAACCGUAAAAUUGCAGUUGAUACUGGAUAUCUUGAGUGCAGUUGAGGCAGGCGGAAUUCGUGGUGUAGCGGUGAAAUGCUUAGAUAUCACGAAGAACUCCGAUUGCGAAGGCAGCCUGCUAAGCUGCAACUGACAUUGAGGCUCGAAAGUGUGGGUAUCAAACAGGAUUAGAUACCCUGGUAGUCCACACCGUAAACGAUGAGCACUAGGUGUCGGGGUCGCAAGACUUCGGUGCCGCAGUUAACGCAUUAAGUGCUCCGCCUGGGGAGUACGUACGCAAGUAUGAAACUCAAAGGAAUUGACGGGGACCCGCACAAGCAGCGGAGCAUGUGGUUUAAUUCGAAGCAACGCGAAGAACCUUACCAGGACUUGACAUCCCUCUGAAACCCCUGAUAACGAAGGGGCCUCUUCGGACAGAGGAGACAGGUGGUGCAUGGUUGUCGUCAGCUCGUGUCGUGAGAUGUUGGGUUAAGUCCCGCAACGAGCGCAACCCUUGCUGUUAGUUGCCAUCAUUGAGUUGGGCACUCUAACGGGACUGCCGGGGAUAACUCGGAGGAAGGUGGGGAUGACGUCAAAUCAUCAUGCCCCUUAUGGGCUGGGCUACACACGUGCUACAAUGGUGCUAACAGAGUGAGGCGAGACUGUGAAGUUAAGCAAAUCACAAAAAUGGCAUCUCAGUUCGGAUUGUAGUCUGCAACUCGACUACAUGAAGCUGGAAUCGCUAGUAAUCGCAGAUCAGAAUGCUGCGGUGAAUACGUUCCCGGGUCUUGUACACACCGCCCGUCAAG